AGUUCGAUCCUGGCUCAGAUUGAACGCUGGCGGGAUGCUUUUACAUGCAAGUCAGACGGCAGCACGGACUUCGGUCUGGUGGCGAGUGGCGAACGGGUGAGUAAUGUAUCGGAACGUGCCUAAUGUGAGGAUAACUACGCGAAAGCGUAGCUAAUGCAUACGCCCUUCGGGGAAAGCGGGGGACCUUCGGGCUCGCACUAUUAGAGCAGCCGAUAUCGGGUCGGCUAGUUGAGCAGGGUAACGGCUCCCUGCGGGCGACGAUCCGUAGCUGGUUUGAGGAGGACGACCAACCACACACUGGGACAGGGCCUGACCCAGACUCCUACAGAGGGCAGCAGUGGGGAAUUUUGGACAAUGGGGGAAACCCGCGGUCAUGCAUCCCGCGUGUGCGGUAAGAAGGCCUUCGGGUUGUAAAGCACUUUUGGCAGGAAAGAAACAUGCGGGAUAAUACCCCGUGCAACUGACGGUACCUGCAGAAUAAGCACCGGCUAACUACGUGCCAGCAGCCGUGGUAAUACGUAGGUGCAAGCGUUAAUCGGAAUUGCAGGCGUAAAGCGUGCGCGGGCGGUUCCGGAAGAAAGAUGUGAAAUCCCAGAGCUUAACUGCAGAACUGCAUUUUUAACUACCGAGCUAGAGUGUGUCAGAGGGAGGUGGAAUUCCGCGAUGUGGCGGUGAAAUGCGUAGAUAUGCGGAGGAACACCGUGCUUGAAGGCAGCCUCCUGGGAUAACACUGACGCUCAUGCACGAAAGCGUGGGAGCAAACAGGAUUAGAUGCCCUGGUAGUCCACGCCCUAAACGAUGUCAACUAGCUGUUGGGGCCUUCGGGCCUUGGUAGCGCAGCUAACGCUGAAGUUGACCGCCUGGGAAGUACAGUCGCAAGAUUAAAACUCAAAGGAAUUGACGAGGGGACCCGCACAAGCGGUGGAUGAUGUGGAUUAAUUCGAUGCAACGCGAAAAACCUUACCUACCCUUGACAUGUCUGGAAUCCCGAAGAAGUUUGAAAUUGCUCGCAAGAGAACCGGAACACAGGUGCUGCAUGGCUGUCGUCAGCUCGUGUCGUGAGAUGUUGGGUUAAGUCCCGCAACGAGCGCAACCCUUGUCAUUAGUUGCUACGAAAGGGCACUCUAAUGAGACUGCCGGUGACAAACCGGAGGAAGGUGGGGAUGACGUCAAGUCCUCAUGAAAGCCCAUAUGGGUGGGGCUUCACACGUCAUACAAUGGUCGGGACGGAGGGUCGCCAACCCGCGAGGAGCCGUCCCAGAAACCCGAUCGUAGUCGGAUCGCAGUCUGCAACUCGACUGCGUGAAGUCGGAAUCGCUAGUAAUCGCGGAUCAGCAUGUCGCGGUGAAUACGUUCCCGGGUCUCGUACACACCGCCCGUCCUGCCGGUGGUUUUCAGUAGUUAGCCUAACCGUAAGGGCGAUUACAGUAGGAUUCAUGACUGGGGUGAAGUCGUAACAAGGUAA
Molecule: ribosomal RNA, 1465 nt
Filed under: uncultured Bordetella sp.
Lineage: Bacteria; Pseudomonadati; Pseudomonadota; Betaproteobacteria; Burkholderiales; Alcaligenaceae
Description: partial 16S-23S ribosomal RNA intergenic spacer
Rfam family: Bacterial small subunit ribosomal RNA
Source: RNAcentral